RNAcentral lists this ribosomal RNA (445 nucleotides) under uncultured bacterium. RNAcentral's name for it is "partial 16S ribosomal RNA". It matches the Rfam family "Bacterial small subunit ribosomal RNA", at positions 339 to 795 of the family's 1533-position model. The record is from RNAcentral.
CUACGGGGGGCUGCAGUGGGGAAUAUUGCACAAUGGGCGCAAGCCUGAUGCAGCAACGCCGCGUGAGGGACGAAGGCCUUCGGGUUGUAAACCUCUUUUAGCAGGGAAGAAGCGAAAGUGACGGUACCUGCAGAAAAAGCACCGGCUAACUACGUGCCAGCAGCCGCGGUAAUACGGUAGGGUGCAAGCGUUGUCCGGAAUUAUUGGGCGUAAAGAGCUCGUAGGCGGUUUGUCACGUCUGCUGUGAAAUUUCGAGGCUCAACCUCGAACUUGCAGUGGGUACGGGCAGGCUAGAGUGCGGUAGGGGAGAUGGGAAUUCCUGGUGUAGCGGUGGAAUGCGCAGAUAUCAGGAGGAACACCAAUGGCGAAGGCACAUCUCUGGGCCGUAACUGACGCUGAGGAGCGAAAGCGUGGGGAGCGAACAGGAUUAGAUACCCCAGUAGUC